GCUAGUUGUAUUAACUAUUAGUUAAUACAAGAUCGACUAUGUCGACUAAAGUUCUAGGUAGAAUAAUGAUGAUGACAAUUUUCUACCUAUAUGUCUUGACCAAAUCUCGUGCCAGCAGUCGCGGUAAUACGUGAAAGACUAGUGUUAUUCAUCUUUAAUAGGUUUAAAGGGUACCUAGACGGUAUAUCUAGCCCAAAACAGGGUACGGGUUAACUAGAGUUUUAUGUGAGGAGGGGAGUACUCAUAGAGUAGAGAUGAAAUUUUGUGAUACUAUGAGGAAACUGGUGGCGGCGAAAGCAACCUUCUAUGUAUAAACUGACGUUGAGGGACGAAGGCUUGGGUAGCAAAUAGGAUUAGAUACCCUAGUAGUCCAAGCAGACAAUUCUGAAUGCCAUAGAUUAGAUUUUUUUGGUCUAUAAAUGAAAGUGUAAGCAUUCCACCUUAGGAGUAAUGUGGCAACACAGGAACUGAAAUCAUUAGACCGUUUCUGAAACCAGUAGUGAAGUAUGUUAUUUAAAUUGAUAGUCCUCAAAAAACCUUACCACAACUUGAAUGUUAUUUAAUUAAUACAAGCGUUGCACGGCUGUCUUCAGUUAAUGUCGUGAGAUUUUGGUUAACUCCCUUAAUUAACGUAAACCCUUAC
Molecule: ribosomal RNA, 643 nt
Filed under: Sarcogyne magnussonii
Lineage: Eukaryota; Fungi; Ascomycota; Lecanoromycetes; Acarosporales; Acarosporaceae
Description: SSU rRNA
Rfam family: Bacterial small subunit ribosomal RNA
Source: RNAcentral